Poecilia latipinna (sailfin molly) is the source of this 117-nucleotide long non-coding RNA. RefSeq lists it as uncharacterized. The record is from RefSeq and is a predicted model, not a curated record. NCBI's taxonomy places the organism in Eukaryota, Metazoa, Chordata, Actinopteri, Cyprinodontiformes, Poeciliidae. The transcript is spliced from 3 exons.
GCACUUAGGAGGUGAUUCAGCUGUUGGAUUCAAGUGUGUUGGACCAGGGAGACAUAUAAGAGUUGCAGGACACCGGCCCUCCAGGGCCAGGAUUGCCCACCCCUGCACCAAAGUCAC